CUUCCUACGGGACGCAGCAGUGAGGAAUAUUGGUCAAUGGGCGAGAGCCUGAACCAGCCAAGUCGCGUGAGGGAAGACGGCCAUACGGGUUGUAAACCUCUUUUGUCAGGGAGCAAGAACGGAUACGUGUAUACGAGCGAGAGUAGCUGAAGAAAAAGCAUCGGCUAACUCCGUGCCAGCAGCCGCGGUAAUACGGAGGAUGCGCGCGUUAUCCGGAUUUAUUGGGUUUAAAGGGUGCGUAGGCGGGCUGCCAAGUCAGCGGUAAAAUUGCGGGGUGCAAC
Molecule: ribosomal RNA, 281 nt
Filed under: uncultured bacterium
Lineage: Bacteria
Description: partial 16S ribosomal RNA
Rfam family: Bacterial small subunit ribosomal RNA
Source: RNAcentral